AAGUCGUAACAAGGUUUCCGUAGGUGAACCUGCGGAAGGAUCAUUAUUGAAAUAGCACGACGGGAAGCUGUUGCUGGCCCUAGUGGCCGUGCACGCUUUCUGUCCUUCAUUUCUCCAUCUAUUUGUGCACCUCUUGCGUAGACCCCUCUGUUAGGACUGCUUUGCAAAAUUGAUUGUGGGCUUUCCUUGUUUCUACGUCGUCAUAUACACCAGUGUAACGAUUUGGAAUGAAUGGAAUUUUGAUGCAAUAUAUAUAAAGCACAACUUUCAGCAACGGAUCUCUUGGCUCUCGCAUCGAUGAAGAACGCAGCGAAAUGCGAUAAGUAGUGUGAAUUGCAGAAUUCAGUGAAUCAUCGAAUCUUUGAACGCAUCUUGCGCUCCUUGGUAUUCCUAGGAGCAUGCCUGUUUGAGUGUCAUAAAUAUCUCAACCGCACCCUAUGGUGGUGUGGCUUGGAUUUGGGGGUGGCAGGCUUAGUCUGCUCCCCUGAAAUACAUUGGCGGUGCCCGACGUGAUGUGAUAAAUUAUCCGCAUCUGUUUAUGAGCUGCCAUGUCGUGUUGGAGUUGAUAAACUUGACCUCAAAUCAGGUAGGACCACCCGCUGAACUUAAGCAUAUCAAUAAGCGGAGGAAAAGAAACUAACAAGGAUUCCCCUAGUAACUGCGAGUGAAGCGGGAAAAGCUCAAAUUUGAAAUCUGGCAGCCCUUUGAACUGUCCGAGUUGUAAUCUAGAGAA
This 733-nucleotide unclassified non-coding RNA is filed under the name uncultured Inocybe. RNAcentral's name for it is "sequence contains ITS1, 5.8S rRNA gene and ITS2". The stretch from base 263 to 416 matches the Rfam family "5.8S ribosomal RNA". The record is from RNAcentral. Lineage: Eukaryota; Fungi; Basidiomycota; Agaricomycetes; Agaricales; Cortinariaceae.